GAUGAACGCUGGCGGCGUGCUUAACACAUGCAAGUCGAACGAGAAAUGGAGACGGAAACCUUCGGGCGGAAGACUUUAUUUCGAGUGGCGGACGGGUGAGUAACGCGUGGGUACCCUGCCUCAUACAGGGGGAUAACAGUUGGAAACGACUGUUAAUACCGCAUAAGACCACAGCACCGCAUGGUGCGGGGGUAAAAACUCCGGUGGUAUGAGAUGGACCCGCGUUCGAUUAGCCAGUUGGCGGGGUAACGGCCCACCAAAGCGACGAUCGAUAGCCGAUCUGAGAGGAUGACCGGCCACAUUGGGACUGAGACACGGCCCAAACUCCUACGGGAGGCAGCAGUGGGGAAUAUUGCACAAUGGGGGAAACCCUGAUGCAGCGACGCCGCGUGAGUGAAGAAGUAUUUCGGUAUGUAAAGCUCUAUCAGCAGGGAAGAAAAUGACGGUACCUGAGUAAGAAGCCCCGGCUAACUACGUG
RNAcentral lists this ribosomal RNA (478 nucleotides) under uncultured bacterium. RNAcentral's name for it is "partial 16S ribosomal RNA". It matches the Rfam family "Bacterial small subunit ribosomal RNA", at positions 28 to 507 of the family's 1533-position model. The record is from RNAcentral.